CAAAUCCCACUGAAACCACCGAUUCUCGUUUGAUCACCGAAGUUAAGCUUCCUUGGAUGCGGUCAGUGCUUAGAUGGUGAACCGCUUGGGAAAACCGGGUAUCGUA
Molecule: non-coding RNA, 106 nt
Organism: Acanthosepion pharaonis
Lineage: Eukaryota; Metazoa; Mollusca; Cephalopoda; Sepiida; Sepiidae
Source: the annotation of a GenBank genome assembly